RNAcentral lists this transfer RNA (61 nucleotides) under Metisotoma macnamarai. Its description in RNAcentral is "tRNA-His". Lineage: Eukaryota; Metazoa; Arthropoda; Collembola; Entomobryomorpha; Isotomidae. The record is from RNAcentral.
GUUUAAGUAGUUUAUUAAAAAUUUAAGUUUGUGGGGCUUAAGAUGGGUUUACCUUUAGACA